This 591-nucleotide ribosomal RNA is filed under the name uncultured bacterium. Its description in RNAcentral is "bacterial SSU rRNA". It matches the Rfam family "Bacterial small subunit ribosomal RNA", at positions 34 to 626 of the family's 1533-position model. The record is from RNAcentral.
CGCUGGCGGCGUGCUUAACACAUGCAAGUCGAGCGAGAAGCUAUCUAUUGAACCUUCGGGUGAUUUAGAUAGUGGAAAGCGGCGGACGGGUGAGUAACGCGUGGGUAACCUGCCCUAUGCAGGGGGAUAACACAUUGAAAAGUGUGCUAAUACCGCAUAAGACCACAGAGUCGCAUGACUCAGUGGUAAAAACUCCGGUAGCAUAGGAUGGACCCGCGUCUGGUUAGCUAGUAGGUAAGGUAACGGCUUACCUAGGCGACGAUCAGUAGCCGACCUGAGAGGGUGAUCGGCCACAUUGGGACUGAGACACGGCCCAAACUCCUACGGGAGGCAGCAGUGGGGAAUAUUGCACAAUGGGGGAAACCCUGAUGCAGCGACGCCGCGUGAAGGAAGAAGGUUUUCGGAUCGUAAACUUCUAUCAGCAGGGAAGAUAGUGACAGUACCUGACUAAGAAGCCCCGGCUAACUACGUGCCAGCAGCCGCGGUAAUACGUAGGGGGCAAGCGUUAUCCGGAUUUACUGGGUGUAAAGGGUGCGUAGGCGGCGAAGUAAGUCAGAUGUGAAAGCCCGAGGCUCAACCUCGGGACUGCAU